UAUCUAUCUAUCUGCAUAUUUUUGAAACAAGGUCUAGCUGCAUAUCCCAGGAUGGCCUUAAACUCAUAAUCCUCCUGCUUGAGACUCACCAGUGUUGGGCUGAGAGAUGUUCACUGCCACACCUGUCUAUAUGCCUUUUUAACUGUGCUCGUGUUAACAAGAAGACAAUUUACUUCUGCUACUUUAUUAGAUAUGGUCCAGUGAGUUGGGACAGCUCUAUUGUGACAGAUUCAUUUAUUUGUUUGUUCUUUUUGAAGUAGAGUCUGAUGUAGCCCAGACUGGCCUCAAACUCACCAUAUUGCCAAGGAUGACUGAACUUCUAGCCCUUUUGGCACCAUCUCCUGAGUGCUGGGGUUUCAGGUGUGCACCACCACACCCAGUUUUAGGCAGAGUUGAGGAUCAAACCCAGGGCUUCAUGCAUGCCAGGCAAGCACUCUACCAACCACACUACAUUCACCAGCCCCACGUUAUGACAACAUUGUAAAUCACUUCAUUUCAAACAAGAGGAAAAAAAAAUCUCUCAGUACCACCAAGUCCUUGGAAUCUAUCUAAUAAAAAAUGUGCCUGUUGUACCCCCAUUCCUCAUCUGCUCUAACCAUACCCUCCAAAGAAGUGAGGCCACAGCUUUGGCUACAACCCAGACACAACUCUGGCCAGAUCAGUGGAGCUAUCAGCUUCCACACUGCCCCAGCUCUAAGGCAGGAGUUACCCUUGGUCACAGCAUUAGUCUUCUUGGACAGCCUGUGGGUCCUGUUUCCCAUCCACCUUCUCCUGAGGCCAUUUUGGAUGGGUGGGUCAAUUUGGCUAUUGACCAACCUAAAGCAUUCACCCUUGGUGGUCCUCAGUCAUGUGCCUUAGCCUUCACAGAGCCUUCUGCACUGGAGCUCACAGCCUCCCAGUCUUCCCCCUUCAUUCUCCUCUCUUGCUCUACAUGCAUCCCUGACCCGGGUCCUCAAUAGUCCAUCCCCAUUGAGCCUAAUGGGUUCUGGGUCAAGCCUACCUUCUCUCACCCUCUUUAGGAUUUUUCUCUGAGAGUCCUGUAUAUAAAGUAUUGUCAUAAUUAUCCCUGAUUAAUAUUUUUGCACCUAAUAAAGUCUCAGGGCCUGGGCUGGGGAGGCUCACCUUCCAGAUGGCUUCUCCAGCAAUUAAAGUGACUUGUUAGUUGGAGGCCCGGGAUGGCUGAGGACAGCUGGAGAGCUGUCCUUUUGCAAGCGGCUCUGGUUAACAUCAACCAGGAAAGCUCUCUGUAAACACAUGAAUAAUUGAUUGUGCGGCGCUCACAUAGCUACCGCGGAUCUGAGCCCGGAUGACUCACUUGUGGGCCAUCCCUGUCGUCUGGAUGCCAUAACAUUGGAGGAAUGAUGACGGUUUCUUGGAGGUUCUUCUGUGGCCGGCGUAGCCAAGACGAAGACUGUAAUGGAUCUUCUUUCCUGUGAGACGGGACCUCUGCUGUGGAUGUGUGCCUGACGUCUUGCCUCACCCUGGUUGGCUCUGAAGACGGAACUCCGGUCACGAGGCUCGCACAGUGUAUUAGUUUGCAUCUCCGUUGCCGUGAUAAAACGCUCUGGUGAAAAGCAUCUCGGGGAGGAAAGGGUUUGUUUGGCUUACAGGUUACAGUCCAUCGCCAAGGGAAGGCAGGACCUGACGCAGAAGCCUGGGAGGAAGUCUGCUAAUGGCCAGGGGGAGCAACCCCACUGCUUGCUCAGCCUUUUUUUCUUACAGAGUGCAGGGCCACCUGCCUAGGGCCGGGACUGCCCACCGUGGGCUGGGCCCUCCCACUUUAACCACCAAUUAAAAAAAUACCGGACAGACUCGUUCGGAGGAGGCAAUUCUUCAGCUGAGGCUCCCUCUUCCUAGACAACUCUAACGUGUCAGGUUGACCACACGCGAACAAGAAACGGGCACACACACACACAGCAAGGCCCUUUACCCACCGAGCCAUCUUGCUGGCCCCUCAAGUUGAGGGAGUUGGGGCGGAGGUGGUACCCUGGCUACCUGUCUGUAAGCAGCUUCAGUAUCAUCGUCGUGUUUACCCCACUGGACCUGAGUGGAGAGAAAGGGUUUAGUCCUGGUCCCUCCUGGCGACCUCACAUUGGGUAGCUGUGUGAAGUGACUGGUAAAGUGUGGUCAAGAGUGGCUGCGCCAGACCCUGCUCUCGCUCCUCCCUGCUCCUCUGGGCUCUGCUCACCUGGAAGUGCUGGGAAUUGAGCCUGGGGCCGCCAAUCUGCUACCUAAGUGCUGUCACUGAGCUGCACCCCCACCCCCAAGCCAGGCCUUUAUUAGUGAGAAGCAGGCAGUUUUAUCUCCAUGAAACAAAAUGAUAACAGCAAACAAAAUGUGAGCUCUCCGCGUCCCGCUCCAGUUGCCAUACCUGCCAUAUCUCCCACCGCCAUGAGCUCUCCUCCCUCUGGAACCAUAAGCCCAAAUAAAUUCCUCUCUCUAUAA
Non-coding RNA from Peromyscus maniculatus bairdii (prairie deer mouse), 2445 nucleotides. Lineage: Eukaryota; Metazoa; Chordata; Mammalia; Rodentia; Cricetidae. The record is from RefSeq and is a predicted model, not a curated record.